Small nuclear RNA from Mobula hypostoma (lesser devil ray), 132 nucleotides. The record is from RefSeq and is a predicted model, not a curated record. NCBI's taxonomy places the organism in Eukaryota, Metazoa, Chordata, Chondrichthyes, Myliobatiformes, Myliobatidae.
UCGUUACGUGGACGGAGACAAAGUAUCACCCCGCUCAGUGAGGAUGGAAGGGGCCCUGGAGGCUUUACAACACACAAAUGGCCAGGGCAUUGCCAAUGCCCUCUACUUGGUAGCAUCUAACCAUGUUUUUAC